RNAcentral lists this long non-coding RNA (425 nucleotides) under Amborella trichopoda. RNAcentral describes it as "long non-coding RNA (ATRI_LNC001788)". Lineage: Eukaryota; Viridiplantae; Streptophyta; Magnoliopsida; Amborellales; Amborellaceae. The record is from RNAcentral.
AGAAAUUGGUAUUUAACGGCCUAUCCCCAAAAAUUAAUAGCUAUGAUACAUAAAAGGUAUAGCAAAUUUUUGAAAACAGAAAAAAUUACGAUAGGUUUCUUUGAGUGGUUAAAACAAAUUCUUAUAAAUAAAGGAGUAUCAAUUCCAAACUUUGAUAAUGAAAUAAAUAAGAUAAAUAUUCUUGAAAAACAAUAUCAAACCUUUAAUUAAUUAGAAGGAGAAAUUAUUCAAAGUAUACAUCCUCCUGAAAAAAGUCUAUAUAUUAAAGGAUCUUCAAAAGACAAAUCAGACAUCAAAAUACUAAAUGAGACUAGAGCUGCCCCUUAUAAGAUAGCUAUAAGUGAUCAAAAAAUAGACUUACUACCACAUAUUAUAGAACAAAAUAAUUAUACAAAUUUAUAUCUAACAACCUUGGGAAAACAAAC